Molecule: ribosomal RNA, 1048 nt
Filed under: Pedobacter westerhofensis
Lineage: Bacteria; Pseudomonadati; Bacteroidota; Sphingobacteriia; Sphingobacteriales; Sphingobacteriaceae
Description: bacterial SSU rRNA
Rfam family: Bacterial small subunit ribosomal RNA
Source: RNAcentral
GUACCGAAGGAAUAAGGAUCGGCUAACUCCGUGCCAGCAGCCGCGGUAAUACGGAGGAUCCAAGCGUUAUCCGGAUUUAUUGGGUUUAAAGGGUGCGUAGGCGGCUUUUUAAGUCAGGGGUGAAAGACGGUAGCUCAACUAUCGCAGUGCCUUUGAUACUGAAGAGCUUGAAUGGACUAGAGGUAGGCGGAAUGUGACAAGUAGCGGUGAAAUGCAUAGAUAUGUCACAGAACACCGAUUGCGAAGGCAGCUUACUAUGGUUUAAUUGACGCUGAGGCACGAAAGCGUGGGGAUCAAACAGGAUUAGAUACCCUGGUAGUCCACGCCCUAAACGAUGAAUACUCGCUGUUAGCGAUACACAGUUAGCGGCUAAGCGAAAGCGUUAAGUAUUCCACCUGGGGAGUACGGUCGCAAGAUUGAAACUCAAAGGAAUUGACGGGGGCCCGCACAAGCGGAGGAGCAUGUGGUUUAAUUCGAUGAUACGCGAGGAACCUUACCCGGGCUUGAAAGUUAGUGAAUCAUUUAGAGAUAGAUGAGUCCGCAAGGACACGAAACUAGGUGCUGCAUGGCUGUCGUCAGCUCGUGCCGUGAGGUGUUGGGUUAAGUCCCGCAACGAGCGCAACCCCUAUGUUUAGUUGCCAGCACGUAAUGGUGGGGACUCUAAACAGACUGCCUGUGCAAACAGAGAGGAAGGAGGGGACGACGUCAAGUCAUCAUGGCCCUUACGUCCGGGGCUACACACGUGCUACAAUGGAUGGUACAGAGGGCAGCAAGCUGGCAACAGCAAGCAAAUCUCCAAAAGCCAUUCACAGUUCGGAUAGAGGUCUGCAACUCGACCUCUUGAAGUUGGAUUCGCUAGUAAUCGUAUAUCAGCAAUGAUACGGUGAAUACGUUCCCGGGCCUUGUACACACCGCCCGUCAAGCCAUGGAAGUUGGGGGUACCUAAAGUAUGUAACCGCAAGGAGCGUCCUAGGGUAAAACCGAUAACUGGGGCUAAGUCGUAACAAGGUAGCCGUACCGGAAGGUGCGGCUGGAAUACCUCCUUUCU